Molecule: ribosomal RNA, 425 nt
Filed under: uncultured bacterium
Lineage: Bacteria
Description: partial 16S ribosomal RNA
Rfam family: Bacterial small subunit ribosomal RNA
Source: RNAcentral
GUGGGGAAUCUUGCGCAAUGGGCGAAAGCCUGACGCAGCCAUGCCGCGUGAAUGAUGAAGGUCUUAGGAUUGUAAAAUUCUUUCACCGGGGACGAUAAUGACGGUACCCGGAGAAGAAGCCCCGGCUAACUUCGUGCCAGCAGCCGCGGUAAUACGAAGGGGGCUAGCGUUGCUCGGAAUUACUGGGCGUAAAGGGCGCGUAGGCGGACAGUUUAGUCAGAGGUGAAAGCCCAGGGCUCGACCUUGGAAUUGCCUUUGAUACUGUGUGUCAUGAGUACGGGAGAGGUGAGUAGAACUCCGAGUGUAGAGGUGAAAUUCGUAGAUAUUCGGAAGAACACCAGUGGCGAAGGCGACUCACUGGCCAGAUACUGACGCUGAGGCGCGAAAGAGUGGGGAGCAAACAGGAUUAGAAACCCGUGUAGUCC